RNAcentral lists this ribosomal RNA (336 nucleotides) under Actinomycetota bacterium. Its description in RNAcentral is "Actinobacteria bacterium partial 23S ribosomal RNA". It matches the Rfam family "Bacterial large subunit ribosomal RNA", at positions 2589 to 2925 of the family's 2925-position model. Lineage: Bacteria; Bacillati; Actinomycetota. The record is from RNAcentral.
UAAAGCGGUACGCGAGCUGGGUUUAGAACGUCGUGAGACAGUUCGGUCCCUAUCUGCUGUAGGCGUAGGAGAUUUGAGGGGAGUCGUCCCUAGUACGAGAGGACCGGGAUGAACAGACCUCUAGUGUACCAGUUGUCCUGCCAAGGGCAUUGCUGGGUAGCUAAGUCUGGACUGGAUAACCGCUGAAAGCAUCUAAGUGGGAAGCCAACCCCAAGAUGAGAUCUCCCACUCUUUGAGAGUUAAGACCCCAGGUAGACUACCUGGUGGAUAGGCCGCAGGUGGAAGAGCAGCAAUGCUUGCAGCCGAGCGGUACUAAUUGGUCGAGGACUUGGCUAU